This 254-nucleotide ribosomal RNA is filed under the name uncultured bacterium. RNAcentral describes it as "partial 16S ribosomal RNA". It matches the Rfam family "Bacterial small subunit ribosomal RNA", at positions 524 to 776 of the family's 1533-position model. The record is from RNAcentral.
CACGUAGGGGGCGAGCGUUGUCCGGAUUUAUUGGGCGUAAAGAGCUCGUAGGCGGCUCAGUAAGUCGGGUGUGAAAACUCCAGGCUCAACCUGGAGACGCCACCCGAUACUGCUGUGGCUAGAGUCCGGUAGGGGAGCAUGGAAUUCCUGGUGUAGCGGUGAAAUGCGCAGAUAUCAGGAGGAACACCGGUGGCGAAGGCGGCCUGCUGGGCAGUAGCUGACGCUGAGGCGCGACAGCGUGGGGAGCAAACAGG